RNAcentral lists this transfer RNA (64 nucleotides) under Longitarsus curtus. RNAcentral describes it as "tRNA-Thr". It matches the Rfam family "tRNA". Rfam says of the family: Transfer RNA (tRNA) molecules are approximately 80 nucleotides in length. Their secondary structure includes four short double-helical elements and three loops (D, anti-codon, and T loops). The record is from RNAcentral. Lineage: Eukaryota; Metazoa; Arthropoda; Insecta; Coleoptera; Chrysomelidae.
GUUUUAAUAAUUUAAUACUAAAAUAUUGGUCUUGUAAAUCAAAAAUAAGUCAUCUUUUAAAACU